UCCGGCUUGUCGCCGGCGGUCCCUCUAGAGUGCCCAACUGAAGAGCUCCAUCUCUGGUGCUCGCGACCGGGAUGUCAAAGGCUGGUAAGGUUCUGCGCGUUGCUUCGAAUUGAACCACAUGCUCCACCGCUUGUGCGGGCCCCCGUCAAUUCCUUUGAGUUUUAAUCUUGCGACCGUACUCCCCAGGCGGGAUGCUUAAUGCGUUAGCUGCGCCACUGAAGGGUAAACCCACCAACGGCUAGCAUCCAUCGUUUACGGCGUGGACUAC
RNAcentral lists this unclassified non-coding RNA (268 nucleotides) under uncultured Alphaproteobacteria bacterium. RNAcentral describes it as "contains 16S-23S intergenic spacer region". The record is from RNAcentral. Lineage: Bacteria; Pseudomonadati; Pseudomonadota; Alphaproteobacteria.